This 253-nucleotide ribosomal RNA is filed under the name uncultured bacterium. RNAcentral describes it as "partial 16S ribosomal RNA". It matches the Rfam family "Bacterial small subunit ribosomal RNA", at positions 524 to 776 of the family's 1533-position model. The record is from RNAcentral.
UACGGGGGGGGCGAGCGUUGUUCGGAAUUACUGGGCGUAAAGGGUGCGUAGGCGGUGCUCUAAGUCGGAUGUGAAAACUCUGGGCUCAACCCAGAGCCUGCAUCCGAAACUGGAGUGCUAGAGUUCUGGAGGGGGUAGCGGAAUUCCUGGUGUAGCGGUGAAAUGCGUAGAUAUCUGGAGGAACACCGGUGGCGAAGGCGGCAUCCUGGACCAUGACUGACGCUGAGGAGCGAAAGCCAGGGGAGCAAACGGG